AUAGAAGCCAAGGAGCAACAGCUGCAGAACCAGACCUUUUAGUUGUGUUGGGGGGACCUGUUAGUGUGAGUGAACUGGCCAGGUGGUCCUGCCCUGCCUUGGGACCACUCCAACAAAAGGAUGGCGAGCAAAAACUUGAGCCAGGAGCCUGACUGUUCUUUUUCUUUGUCUUCAACACAAGUCAGGGUCUGGUAGGAGGCUCUGCACCCUGUUUUUCUCUCCCCACUACUCCGGUCAAGCACUUCCAAUACCCGUUCAACUUGAGACUAAUCAAGCAGCGCUAAUGGACGCUCACCUUGUACCACCAUAAAACUGAAGCCAUUCAUUUGUACUCUUGACUGUUUGUAACUUACGAACGUUGGGGUGGGAAAAGUGAACUGGGUUUUUGUCUCCCUGUUGAUCAACUGUAACUUGUGUACACAUUAGUAUUUUGUAAAUAUUUGUUUAUUUU
Molecule: long non-coding RNA, 451 nt
Organism: Corythoichthys intestinalis (scribbled pipefish)
Lineage: Eukaryota; Metazoa; Chordata; Actinopteri; Syngnathiformes; Syngnathidae
Exons: 3
Source: RefSeq, a predicted model, not a curated record